AUUGAUUUUUUAUGGGUUAAAGUAAGAGAUUUUUUUUAGAAUGCUCGUGAACUUCUCUUCUCUCCUCCAGCAGGUUGCUGAAACCCAUAGCCAAGAUUUCAAUAAAACUAGCAAUCCGAACAAUCUAAAAGGAAAGGACAAAGCUUGUGACUAGUAUUAUCGUAUACAAGUUCUUAAGUGAGGCAAAGGUUCUAGUAAGGAUAAGUACGAUCGGUAAGGAGCUAUCGGAG
Hibiscus syriacus is the source of this 230-nucleotide long non-coding RNA. RefSeq lists it as uncharacterized. NCBI's taxonomy places the organism in Eukaryota, Viridiplantae, Streptophyta, Magnoliopsida, Malvales, Malvaceae. The transcript has 3 exons. The record is from RefSeq and is a predicted model, not a curated record.